AACGCGAAGAACCUUUACCAGGUCUUGACAUCCGAUGCUAUUUCUAGAGAUAGAAGUUACUUCGGUACAUCGGUGACAGGUGGUGCAUGGUUGUCGUCAGCUCGUGUCGUGAGAUGUUGGGUUAAGUCCCGCAACGAGCGCAACCCCUAUUGUUAGUUGCCAUCAUUCAGUUUGGGCACUCUAGCGAGACUGCCGGUAAUAAACCGGAGGAAGUGGGAUGACGUCAAAUCAUCAUGCCCCUUAUGACCUGGGCUACACACGUGCUACAAUGGUUGGUACAACGAGUUGCGAGUCGGUGACGGCGAGCUAAUCUCUUAAAGCCAAUCUCAGUUCGGAUUGUAGGCUGCAACUCGCCUACAUGAAGUCGGAAUCGCUAGUAAUCGCGGAUCAGCACGCCGCGGUGAAUACGUUCCCGGGCCUU
RNAcentral lists this ribosomal RNA (421 nucleotides) under uncultured Streptococcus sp. Its description in RNAcentral is "bacterial SSU rRNA". It matches the Rfam family "Bacterial small subunit ribosomal RNA", at positions 958 to 1382 of the family's 1533-position model. The record is from RNAcentral. Lineage: Bacteria; Bacillati; Bacillota; Bacilli; Lactobacillales; Streptococcaceae.